AUCCAGCUGACGAGUUUCAAAUAGAACAAAACGCACAUCCUGGAU
RNAcentral lists this non-coding RNA (45 nucleotides) under Schistosoma haematobium. The record is from RNAcentral. Lineage: Eukaryota; Metazoa; Platyhelminthes; Trematoda; Strigeidida; Schistosomatidae.